AAAUAAUGACAAAAUAAAUCAGGAAAACGAAUGUAAGAGUCAUUGAGGUUAGGUUCCCUUAUUUCUAUGCCAGAAAUUUACUUCUCCUGACUUCCUCACCAAGAACAGAGAUAAAUCCUUUGAAUCUAAGGUUUGAGGAUUCAUGACUAUGGAUGCUGCUGCGGAAUCAUCUGAAUCUAGAUUAUCCAGUUCCCAGUUAAACAAAAACAAGCCUUUUCACAAUGAUGAGAGUUGUCCUAAAGAAGUAUUACCUGUUAGGGGUUGCGGGUCGAGGAAUACAAGCCCAUCAGGUCGGAUAGGAUCGAGGAACACUAGUCCGUCUAGGCAGAAGGUGGUAAAGACUAAACCACGGGGUUUAGAUGAGGAGACGGUUGCUACAUUUGGUAAGGCAGUUCAUCCUGAUGUUCAAAUGGAAGAUAACAUAUGGGCAAUGUUGCCUGAGGACUUAUUUAAUGAAAUUUUGGCAAGGGUUCCCCCAUUUAUGAUAUUCCGGCUUCGUUCAGUUUGUAAAAGAUGGAAUUCAAUACUUCAAGAUAAUAGUUUUCUCAAGUUUCACUCAGAAGUGCCAUCUCAUGGGCCAUGUCUACUUACAUUUUGGAAGAACUCACAGACUCCGCAAUGCUCAGUUUUUAGUUUGCCAUUAAAAACAUGGUAUAGAAUUCCAUUCAAUUUUUUGCCUCAGUGGGCCUUCUGGUUGGUCGGCUCUUCAGGUGGACUAGUUUGCUUUUCUGGACUUGAUGGUCUAAUUUUCAGAGCUCUAGUAUGUAAUCCUCUUACACAAACUUGGAGAACACUGCCAAGCAUGAAUUAUAACCAGCAAAGACAGUUGAUUAUGGUCGUGGAUCGAACAGACAAAUCAUUUAAAGUUAUAGCCACUAGUGAUAUUUAUGGUGACAAGUCACUGCCUACUGAAGUAUAUGACUCAAAGAUUGAUAAGUGGACGGUCCACCAGAUAAUGCCUGCAGUAAAUCUGUGCUCCUCAAAGAUGGCAUAUUGUGACUCCAGGUUAUAUUUGGAAACCCUUUCACCCCUUGGCUUGAUGAUGUAUCGUCUUGACUCUGGAUAUUGGGAGCAUAUUCCAGCAAAGUUCCCUAGAUCUUUGCUAGAUGGUUAUUUGGUUGCCGGGACACAGAAGCGCCUGUUUCUGGUUGGAAGAAUUGGUCUUUAUAGUACCCUACAAAGUAUGAGAAUUUGGGAAUUGGAUCAUGCUAAGAUUAUGUGGGUGGAGAUAAGUAGAAUGCCACCUAAAUAUUUUCGAGCUUUGUUGAGACUAUCAGCAGAGAGAUUUGAGUGCUUCGGACAGGAUAAUCUUAUCUGCUUCACAUCUUGGAACCAAGGGAAGGGCCUAAUUUAUGAUGUGGAAAAGAAGGUUUGGUCUUGGAUUGCCGGCUGUGCUCUUCAGUCAUACAACAGUCAGGUUUGCUUCUAUGAGCCAAGAUUUGAUGCCUCUGUCCACUGAGCUGGAAAAUUUCCUUUUGAGAUGACCUGUUGAGAGGUUAACUUGUGGCCAGUAGUUCCUAUUUCUUUGUAAGAAAGAUGAUAUCUUCUUUCACACCAUCCUUUUUCCUGCUUCCUGCACAUAUUUUGACGGGAAUUACUUCUCUGCUGUUGGCGGAUUGUGCCACCAAGUGAUCCUUGCUACUGCAUCAGCAUCGUGAACAUAUCCUUUUCAAGCUAUUUACAUCACCAAUUUUUAGGCACUUGGUGAUAUCAUUCCAUACCUGGACUGAAUGAGGCACAUUGACACCGGGCUGGGUUGUACUUCAAUAACUAGAUGAGGGCUGAACUCCUUAAAGGUGUAUAUCAUGGGACUAAAAGAAUUCAUGGUUGCUGCUGAAGAAGUGACUUGAAUGUGUUGCAUAAGUAAUAGUGAGGAACAUCGUGCCGAGGAUUGUGUUUUGAACCACAUAUAGAAAGAUUAUAACCGUGUUGAAUAUUGAAGUAUAGAUGCAUCAUCAAAAGAAGCUGACAGGUUCUCAUUAAACUGACGGACAUAGUCUGUUGCUGUUGCUGGUUACCCUAGGAUGAAGCUCCAGAGUGUUAUUACUGCAACUGGAACUACUUCUGGGCCAUCUGGUUUGACCUUCUUGUUAAGUGGUUGAGCUAAAUGAUGACUUUGUUGCAGUGUGGGAUUACUUGGCUUACCUUAUUCUGAAUUCUGAAACAUCUUUGAAAUGACCUUAUCAAAUAAAACAACAUGAUGGAGCAGAAAUUGAAGUUUGAAAGGACUGCAUGUACCAUUCAUCAUCCUCUCAAACCAUCACUUUUUCCAUUUAGGUAGUUCAUUUUUUUAUGGUCAAAAGUGAUAAUUUAAGUAAAAUGAGACGAAAUUCAUCAUAUAAGUAAUAUUUUUGCCAAUUUUUUUGGUGAGAAAAGCAAUAUAAAACUCUUUCUUUUA
RNA transcript from Gossypium raimondii (Peruvian cotton), 2398 nucleotides. It is a transcript of the gene named F-box/kelch-repeat protein At5g15710, with no coding region annotated. The record is from RefSeq and is a predicted model, not a curated record. The transcript has 4 exons. Lineage: Eukaryota; Viridiplantae; Streptophyta; Magnoliopsida; Malvales; Malvaceae.